UGUCCUGUGGCCGAAUGGAUAAGGCGUCUGACUUCGGAUCAGGAGAUUGUAGGUUCAAGUCUUGUCAGGUUAG
Paragonimus heterotremus is the source of this 73-nucleotide non-coding RNA. NCBI's taxonomy places the organism in Eukaryota, Metazoa, Platyhelminthes, Trematoda, Plagiorchiida, Troglotrematidae. The record is from the annotation of a GenBank genome assembly.